UUUAAAUAAAAAUAAAUUAAAAAACAGAACUCUAGCGUUUCUGGAAAUUAAACAACUUUAUGGACACGGUGAAGAUGGCUCCAAAUAGUACUGUAAAACCGAUAACUAUAGCUGCCACAACCCCAAUGAAUUCAUG
Molecule: long non-coding RNA, 136 nt
Organism: Hibiscus syriacus
Lineage: Eukaryota; Viridiplantae; Streptophyta; Magnoliopsida; Malvales; Malvaceae
Exons: 3
Source: RefSeq, a predicted model, not a curated record